RNAcentral lists this long non-coding RNA (719 nucleotides) under Sinocyclocheilus anshuiensis. RNAcentral describes it as "lncRNA (ENSSANG00000007414.1)". Lineage: Eukaryota; Metazoa; Chordata; Actinopteri; Cypriniformes; Cyprinidae. The record is from RNAcentral.
UUUCGGUGCAGUUAAGAAGAGAAUCUGUGGUUUCAUGUGCUAAAUACAGCACUCUGAAAGACUGCAGAGCUGCUCUGGAUCCUUUCUGCGGCUGGUGUGUGAACACUCAGAGAUGUUCUACUCAAGAUGAAUGCUCAAAUACUGCAUGGGUGUCCAUCCCAAAAAACUCUCUUCAGACACAGCUGUUUUCUUUUCAGAUGGCAGAGAAUUAUUCUAGAAAGAUUAAUCUACAUCUUAUUUUGAAUCUGGAGAGCACAGGAAAUCCUGCCUUCUCAUGCACCUUCACUAAAGAAAGUGUAAACCUGUGUGACGUGUCUGAUCCGCCUGCAGUUUUCCCAAACUGCUCCUGUAGUUUUUCUGACCAGAUGCUCUAUACUAGAGGUUGGUUCUCCUUCAAAGAAGUUCUAUAUUUUCUAAUAUACAGUGCAUUUACAGUAUGUAGUCAGAAUAUGAUUAUUUAUAAUCAGAAACAUUUGGCAAUCUGUUCAGGUUUAAAAGUCUCUGCUACUGUUACUAUUGAGGAUCAGAACAUCAUAGAGAUGCUGACACUGAGGAACUGCUCCCGUAUCACAGAUAAUUCACCAAAUGCUUCUUAUACACAGUGUGUUCAGUGUAUCUCAUCUGGGUGUCACUGGUCCUCAUUCUCCAAGCGUUGUGAAUGGACACUUGGACCUGGACCACAGUUAAACAUACAGGUGAGAUGGCGUGUAACCUAUGAU